CGGUCCUAAGGUAGCGAAAUUCCUUGUCGGGUAAGUUCCGACCUGCACGAAUGGAGUAACGACUUCCCUACUGUCUCAACCAUGAACUCGGCGAAAUUGCAGUACGAGUAAAGAUGCUCGUUACGCGCGGCAGGACGAAAAGACCCCGGGACCUUCACUAUAGCUUGGUAUUGGUGUUCGGUUCGGUUUGUGUAGGAUAGGUGGGAGACGUUGAUGCGGCCACGCUAGUGGUGGUGGAGUCGUUGGUGAAAUACCACUCUGAUUGUUCUGGUUAUCUCACUGUGGACCGUGAUCCGGUUCAAGGACAGUGCCUGAUGGGUAGUUUGACUGGGGCGGUCG
This 339-nucleotide ribosomal RNA is filed under the name Ochromonas sp. CCMP1393. RNAcentral's name for it is "partial Bacterial large subunit ribosomal RNA". It matches the Rfam family "Bacterial large subunit ribosomal RNA", at positions 1946 to 2285 of the family's 2925-position model. Lineage: Eukaryota; Chrysophyceae; Chromulinales; Chromulinaceae. The record is from RNAcentral.